CACGUAGGGGGGCAAGCGUUGUCCGGAUUUAUUGGGCGUAAAGAGCUCGUAGGUGGUUCGGUAAGUCGGGUGUUAAACCCCCAGGCUCAACCUGGGGACGCCACUCGAUACUGCUGUGACUAGAGUCCGGUAGGGGAGCGUGGAAUUCCUGGUGUAGCGGUGAAAUGCGCAGAUAUCAGGAGGAACACCAGCGGCGAAGGCGGCGCUCUGGGCCGGUACUGACACUGAGGAGCGAAAGCGUGGGUAGCAAACAGG
This 255-nucleotide ribosomal RNA is filed under the name uncultured bacterium. RNAcentral's name for it is "partial 16S ribosomal RNA". It matches the Rfam family "Bacterial small subunit ribosomal RNA", at positions 524 to 776 of the family's 1533-position model. The record is from RNAcentral.